GGUGAAGAACGCAGCAAAAUGCGAUAAGUAAUGUGAAUUGCAGAAUUCAGUGAAUCAUCGAAUCUUUGAACGCACAUUGCGCCCGCCAGUAUUCUGGCGGGCAUGCCUGUUCGAGCGUCAUUUCAACCCUCAAGCACAGCUUGGUGUUGGGACUCGCGUUAAUUCGCGUUCCUCAAAUUGAUUGGCGGUCACGUCGAGCUUCCAUAUCGUAGUAGUAAAACCCUCGUUACUGGUAAUCGUCGCGGCCACGCCGUUAAACCCCAACUUCUGAAUGUUGACCUCGGAUCAGGUAGGAAUACCCGCUGAACUUAAGCAUAUCAUAGCGGAGGA
This 330-nucleotide unclassified non-coding RNA is filed under the name soil metagenome. Its description in RNAcentral is "partial contains 5.8S ribosomal RNA, internal transcribed spacer 2, and large subunit ribosomal RNA". The stretch from base 3 to 120 matches the Rfam family "5.8S ribosomal RNA", at positions 37 to 154 of the family's 154-position model. The record is from RNAcentral.